Molecule: non-coding RNA, 4517 nt
Organism: Oryctolagus cuniculus (rabbit)
Lineage: Eukaryota; Metazoa; Chordata; Mammalia; Lagomorpha; Leporidae
Source: RefSeq, a predicted model, not a curated record
GGCGGGGGCGGGAUGAGAGGCUGGCGAGAGCUUGGAGGCGGAGGUGUGGAGGGACGGGGCGGGACUUGGGAAGGGGCGGUGCUGUGAGAACUGCGGGGGCGGAGUCGGAGGCGGGGCUAGGACUUGGGCCAGCCGGGCAGUGACUGGUCGCGGGCAGUGUCGAAGGCGGGUCUUAGGAGGGGAGGGGCGUGGCUGGAGAACGUGCUGGUGAGGCAUCAGGAGGGGGGCUGUGGGAGGAGCAGGGCGGAGCUACAGGAGAUUCCGAGGAAGCGAUUGGCAGAAGAGAAGGGCAGGAAAGGGCAGUGCCCUGACAAGCAUGCUGGAGAGGAGUGGGGGCUUGGCUGUUGGAGGGAAAGGACGGACUAGUGAGGCCGUGUGGGCGAGGGGUAGCGGGUAGGGCUGCGGGAGGAAAGGGGGAGCUGUGCAGAACUUCCGGGGAAGGAGUUGGGGCGGGGCCCUGAGAAGGUUCUGGGUCAGGGGCGGGUCUGAGGCGUGGGGGCGUGGCGGGAAACGUGCAAGGGCCUAUCCGCGGGGUGGGACUGUGGGAGGGGCGGGGCGGGGCCAUGCGGGACUUCCGGGGACGCUCUUGGGGCGGAGUUGAGAGCGGGAGAGGCGGGGCAGAGACGUGUAGGGGCGGUGCCGGGGUGGGGCUGCGAGAGCCUGGGGAGGGAGGGAGGGAGGGAGGGAUGGGGCGGAACUUGGGAUGCCUGGGCGGGAAUGGAGGGCAGGCUGCGGGUGGGGAAGCGGCAGCUGUGACUAGGUCCUGGGUAGGAGUCUGGGGCUAGGCUGGGGCUGGGGUGGGUGAGGGGAGAGGGAGCAGGGCUCUGAGGAAGUGCUGGAGGAGUGGCUGGGGCCGGGCCGUGGCUGUGGCAGAUGGGAGCCAAGGUUUCUGAGAGUGCUGGCGGGGGAGGAGCUGAGCUCUGUUUGACGGGUAGAAAGAGGUGGAGCUGUCGCCGGAGGACCUUGGCUAGGCUGUGGCUAAGAGCUCGCUCGCAAAGGAGCAGGAGUUGCAGCAGGCCAGAGGGGUAGGCAGAGCUGCACUGAGGAGGUCGGUGGCUCUGGGAGCAGAGGUGGAAGAGGGGCUUAGGCGGAGCCCUGGCGAAGAGUUGGGGGAGCUGCUGGGUGUGCAAGAGCCCUGUAAAGAGGAGCAGGGGCAGAGCUGCAGGAAGCCUCGGGGAGAAGCUGGGUGUACAAGAGGGGGGGCAGCUGCACAGGACUGUUGGAGAUGACUUGCAGGGGGCAGCGGGGCUGCGGGAUGGAGCCCAGCAAGUGGGGAGCCAGCUGGGCGGGGAGCCAGCAUAGUACCCUGGAGGAGGAGCUGGGGCUGAAGUGCCCCCUGGAGGGAGGCAUCCUUCACCCCCUGGAGGAGCAGGGGCCUGCUGGGCAGCUGUGAGAAAGCUGGAGGCGGGGCAGAGAGCAGGGCAGAGCCCUGGACAAGCAGGGAGGCUUGUGUGCUCAGCCCCUAGGCAGGAGUCAAGAGUGGCAGCCCGCGGGUCCUCAGGACAUAAGCCAGCUCCCAGCGUGUGUGCCAGAGGGUGUCGGCGGCCAGAGGGGCAGGCAGCCUUGCCUGAGGCUCUUGGAAGCCAGGCCUGUAAUUGCUCUGAAGGGCCUGUUCCUGCCACUGUUCCUCCAGGCAAAGCCGGUCCUGACUCUUUUCCGUAAGUGUGCCUGGGACCAUGGUAGCUGCUUGGUAGAUGGGGAAUUGACAAAACACUGCACUCUCUCUUCUUUUCUAGGGGGAGGCACCUACUCUUCUGGAGGGAAGCUUGAGCAACAAGAAUGCUGCAGGGGAGGGGAGGGCCAGAGGGUACCUUCUUCCUGGAAGGUAAGCCUCAGGGCUGCAAGGGUCCUGAGAGGUCUCCAACCCCGACUGCCGGCCGUGCACGUCCACAGCCUUGGUUAUUUGCCUUUCAGAUCCCUCCUUCUCUCCAGCCCUUCUUUCCCCCUCCCCUCUCCUUCCCCCCUCCCCGGGGCACUCGUUUCAUCCUCUCUUUGCAGGGCUGCUCUGGACGCAGUGUGGACCCAGGUGCUCUGAAUUGUAAGUAACCCUGAAGGUCCUGGAAUGGCCCACUGUUGCUCCCUCUGCAGGCUGUGAAACCCAUCCCCUCUGGCGGCCCGCAGACUCCUUGCAGCUGGAAGGAGCCUUGCUUGGGCGUCACGUGUCCAGCACUCUGCCCUUUAGCUAGGGGGCCCUUCCUGACUCUCCCUUCAUUCGUUCACAGUUUAGCUUUCAUUCGGUGCCUGGACUCAUACAGUCUUGUGACACACAGGAAGCUGGGACGCCCGUGCAGCUGUGUGAAGACAGCAGGUUGGUCUUCUGCCCUGCGACUCCCCUUUUGUCCCCAGAUCGGGAGUCCAGCCAGUUGCCCAGACCCCUUCCUUCCCUCUCUCUCCUGGGCAGCUCGGGUGUGGUACAGCGCUCUCGACGUGGCCCACGGCAUGUGGCACCACCCUGAGAAUUGCAGUGACUUCCACUUCUGUCUCAGCACCACUCGAGUGGAUGGGAAGGAGCUGCCCCCCAUUAACUGUAGACCCGGGUGGGCCACUUGGGCUCCAUGGGGUAGGUGUGGUGGCUGGCACACAGACUGCGAGGGGCGGGGCCCGAACCUUCUGAGUUCCUGUGAGCUUCUGGUGCCUGCCCUGCUCCCACUUGCAUUCACCUUGUGGGCCAGUAGCUCAGUGCCGCUUUCAGGCUGGGGCCAGAACACGUUCCGGUCCACGUUUCCGUGGCUCCGAGCUCUUUGGUCAGCUUGCAUUUUCUUCCUUCCUCCCGUCUCCAGAUACUUCAGCCUUUGUGACCCACGUGCCAGGCCCUGUAAAACUGGAGGGAGGGUUCCGAGCCCUGGGCCGCAGCCACAUGAGCAUGUGGUACGGCUUUUUCUAUUCACCUGAUUGAGCGCAGGGGCUAGAGGACAGGUUGCCAGCCUGUGCCCGUGGUUACGAGGCCUGAGUUGUCCUGGUCCCGUGCUCUGUGAGAAGGCCCAUCUGGCUGACCGCUGAUGCCCACACGUGCACUGUGGCAACCGUGCAAAGGAUGGAAAAGUGUAUGGGGAUCAGGCACAGAGAACUGCCCGAAGGCCACUUCCCAGAGGCCUGCGUGCUUGUCGUUUGGUGUGCGUUCCCCAGUUCUUUGCCCAUACCUUUCUGUCUGUCCUUUCAAGCUCGUGCUGUGUUACAGUGAUGGUAAGUAUCAGUCCUUUGGGUAUACCGUAAGUAUCCCGAAAGUUUCCUCGGAAAAUUAAUCUACUAUCUCCUGGCUCUGCAGCUCACUGUGGAGCCUGGUGGGUUCCAGCCUCUCCCCACUUGAGCCCCACACACAAAUCCUCAUACUUUGAACCCAGGGGUAUUUUUUGUCCUGCAGCGUGAGCGUGGGACGUCUUCCUGAAGGCACCCUGCCCGUGGAGUUGAUUGGCCUCUGGUAUCACUGCAAGCCAGGCACCGUCCAGCAGCCCUCGGACUGUCUGGGUAUUCUCGUUUCCCCAGUGGUUAGUCACCCAGGACGUGGCCGUAGGUCCCUGUGUGAAAGGCUGGGGGAUCCUUCCAUCUCCUGCUUGCUGAGGCGCUGUGGCAUCCUUCCCCCUGGGGUCCCAGCCACCACUCUGGUCACCGUGCUCUAGCUCUAGCAACUGGCACGGUGACAGACACUGGGCCGUGGAUCCUGACUUGUUGGUUGUGGUGCCUGCCCUUAGCCUGCUGCGCAUUCACCCUCGCUCUCUUUGUCCGUUUUGAGCUGUAUCUGUGUGGGCUACACAUUCACUGAAGGCCCUGCCCCCAUCACUCGGCAUUCUCGGCCAUGUGAUCGUCCUAGUCCCCUGCUUCUGACCGCUUGGUCCUGCUUAGUGCUAACGCCUGAGCUCUGCUGCCGCUCCUGCUGCCGGGGAGGUGGAGGGGACAACCCAUCAGGCCCUGUUCUCGGUGAGCCUCGCUCUGUGAAAGGCUCUCCUGUGAUUGGACCUGGCUUGCGGAAGAGAUAGGAAAGAGCAGGAGGAGGAGGGACAAGAGGGCAGGCAGGAGCAGCAGUGGCCCUUUCACAGGCCGUGUUCUCAGUGACCAAAUCCUGUGACAGGCUCUCCUGAGGUCAGCCCCGAUGGGCAGAGGAGCCCCUCCUCCCCCAGGCCCCGAGCUGCCCGAUGGUGCCAGUGCCCUCUCUCCAGUCCAUGCGUGAUGAUGGCCUUGGAGCUCUCCGGAACAGAAUUCCUCCAGGGGUGGUUUUGCCUGCACUUCCCUGUCCAGUCCCCCACAGGCCCACUUCUCUCAGGCUUUGAAGCCCUUCCGUUACCAUCUGCCAUGGCCACGGAGGCCUUUCAGGAUCACUCAGCAGGGACCACGGCCGUUUCCAGGCUUCCAGGUCCCGUGCCUACAUGGAGAGUGCCCCCUCCUAGCAUUAGGUUUGGACCCUCUCCUGGGGGCCCUGCGGCCCGCUAAGAUCUGUUGCCCAGUGGGUAGCCUCCUGUCCUUCAUGUCAUCUUAGACUGCAGCCCCUCAUCAGGUAGCUCCGAGUCUCACCCUGCAGAGAC